RNAcentral lists this transfer RNA (82 nucleotides) under Rhodocyclaceae bacterium. Its description in RNAcentral is "tRNA-Asn". Lineage: Bacteria; Pseudomonadati; Pseudomonadota; Betaproteobacteria; Rhodocyclales; Rhodocyclaceae. The record is from RNAcentral.
CCCUCGGAGAGCAGACGGGAAAAGCGUUUUUUAAGUACUGUUAAUCCGUAGGUCCCUGGUUCGAGCCCAGGUCGAGGAGCCA